Molecule: ribosomal RNA, 377 nt
Filed under: uncultured eukaryote
Lineage: Eukaryota
Description: partial 18S ribosomal RNA
Rfam family: Eukaryotic small subunit ribosomal RNA
Source: RNAcentral
CAAAAGCAUAUAUUAACAUUGUUGCGGUUAAAAGGCUCGUAGUCUAACUUAUGAUUCCCCAUUUGUGGCCCAGAGUCAAGUACUCUGAGUGCAAGCAGAUGGUAAUCAUCCUUUUGGAUAGCACUUCUGCCCUUGAUUGGGUUGGUUGUGAGAUACAAAUCUUUUACUGUGAGUAAAUCAGAGCGUUCAAAGCAGGCUAAACGCCGUGAAUGCUGUAGCAUGGAAUAAUACUAUAAGACUUCGGUUUUCCAUUGGCUGAAACCUAAAGUAAUGAUUGAUAGAGAUAGUUGGGGGUGCUAGUACUUAGCGGUCAGCGGUGAAAUGCAUAGUUAAAGACUAUCUAAUGCGAAAGCAUUCACCAAGGAUAUCUUCUUUGA